This 402-nucleotide RNase P RNA is filed under the name Caulobacterales bacterium. RNAcentral describes it as "RNase P RNA component class A". It matches the Rfam family "Bacterial RNase P class A". Rfam says of the family: Ribonuclease P (RNase P) is a ubiquitous endoribonuclease, found in archaea, bacteria and eukarya as well as chloroplasts and mitochondria. Its best characterised activity is the generation of mature 5'-ends of tRNAs by cleaving the 5'-leader elements of precursor-tRNAs. Lineage: Bacteria; Pseudomonadati; Pseudomonadota; Alphaproteobacteria; Caulobacterales. The record is from RNAcentral.
UCAGACGGCCGGGCGGUCGCGGCUCUCCAGGGCAACCUGGCGGGUCGAGGAAAGUCCGGGCUCCACGACGACAUGGCGGUGGGUAACGCCCACCGGGGGUGACCCUAGGGAUAGCGCCACAGAGAGCAGACCGCCCGGCUCCGCCCCUCGGGACGAAGUCGGGUAAGGGUGAAAGGGUGCGGUAAGAGCGCACCGGGCCGCUGGUGACAGGGGCCGCAUGGCAAGCCCCGCCAGGAGCAAGACCGAAUAGGGAUCCCGCGCCCCGCAAGGGACAAGGCCGUCGCCGGCCCAGGGAUCCGGGUAGGUCGCGAGAACCGGUCGGCAACGAUCGGUCCAGAGGAAUGGCCGCCGCGUCUCCGCAAGGAGGCGGCACAGAACCCGGCUUACAGGCCGUCUGAUCCG